AGCCAUGCAUGUCUAAGUACAAACUUUUACACGGUGAAACCGCGAAUGGCUCAUUAAAUCAGUUAUGGUUUAUUAGAUGGUGCUAUCCUACUUGGAUAACUGUGGUAAUUCUAGAGCUAAUACAUGCGACAAAGCUCCGACCCUCGUUGGAAAGAGCGCUUUUAUUAGAUCAAGACCAACCGGUAUCGCUUUCGGGUGUGCCGUCGGAUUGAUGACUCUGGAUAACCUUUGCCGAUCGUAUGGCCCCGAGCCGACGACGCAUCUUUCAAAUGUCUGCCCUAUCAACUUUCGUUGGUAGGUGAUUUGCCUACCAAGGUGUUUACGGGUAACGGGGGAUCAGGGUUCGAUCCCGGAGAGGGAGCAUGAGAAACGGCUACCACAUCCAAGGAAGGCAGCAGGCGCGCAAAUUACCCACUCUUAGCACGAGGAGGUAGUGACGAAAAAUAACAAUACGGGACUCUUUCGAGGCCCCGUAAUUGGAAUGAGUACACUCUAAACCCGUUAACGAGGAUCUAUUGGAGGGCAAGUCUGGUGCCAGCAGCCGCGGUAAUUCCAGCUCCAAUAGCGUAUAUUAAAGCUGUUGCAGUUAAAAAGCUCGUAGUCGGAUUUCGGGCGGCGGCCAAUGGUUCGGUUCCGUGCCGAUACUGCUGGUCGCGGCCUCCACGCCGGUCGUCUUUCGGUGCUCUUAACUGAGUGCCUUAAGUAGCCGGAGCGUUUACUUUGAAAAAAUUAGAGUGUUCAAGGCAGGCYUCGAGCCUGAAUGAUGGUGCAUGGAAUAAUGGAAUAGGACCUCGGUUCUAUUUUGUUGGUCUUCGGAACUGGAGGUAAUGAUUAAUAGGGACGGACGGGGGCAUUCGUAUUGCGGCGUUAGAGGUGAAAUUCUUGGAUCGUCGCAAGACGGACUACUGCGAAAGCAUUUGCCAAGAAUGUUUUCAUUGAUCAAGAGCGAAAGUCAGAGGAUCGAAGACGAUCAGAUACCGUCCUAGUUCUGACCAUAAACGAUGCCAACUAGCGAUCCGGCUCCGUUGCUUUAUAAGACUGGCCGGGCAGCUCCCGGGAAACCAAAGUUUAUGGGUUCCGGGGGAAGUAUGGUUGCAAAGCUGAAACUUAAAGGAAUUGACGGAAGGGCACCACCAGGAGUGGAGCCUGCGGCUUAAUUUGACUCAACACGGGAAAACUCACCCGGCCCGGACACCGUAAGGAUUGACAGAUUGAAAGCUCUUUCUUGAUUCGGUGGGUGGUGGUGCAUGGCCGUUCUAAGUGUGA
RNAcentral lists this ribosomal RNA (1266 nucleotides) under Gurjanovella littoralis. RNAcentral describes it as "SSU rRNA". The record is from RNAcentral. Lineage: Eukaryota; Metazoa; Nemertea; Enopla; Monostilifera; Amphiporidae.